This 253-nucleotide ribosomal RNA is filed under the name uncultured bacterium. RNAcentral describes it as "partial 16S ribosomal RNA". It matches the Rfam family "Bacterial small subunit ribosomal RNA", at positions 524 to 776 of the family's 1533-position model. The record is from RNAcentral.
UACGAAGGGGGCUAGCGUUGCUCGGAAUUACUGGGCGUAAAGCGCACGUAGGCGGAUUGUUAAGUCAGGGGUGAAAUCCUGGAGCUCAACCCCAGAACUGCCUUUGAUACUGAAGAUCUUGAGUUCGGGAGAGGUGAGUGGAACUGCGAGUGUAGAGGUGAAAUUCGUAGAUAUUCGCAAGAACACCAGUGGCGAAGGCGGCUCACUGGCCCGAUACUGACGCUGAGGCACGAAAGCGUGGGGAGCAAACAGG